GGCGGGGUAGUACAACAUCGGGGUGGUGGCGCAGUUGGCUAGCGCGUAGGUCUCAUAGCUUCUGAGUGAUCCUGAGGUCGAGAGUUCGAGCCUCUCUCACCCCAA
This 105-nucleotide transfer RNA is filed under the name Rosa chinensis. RNAcentral's name for it is "tRNA RchiOBHm_Chr6g0285021". The stretch from base 20 to 104 matches the Rfam family "tRNA". Rfam says of the family: Transfer RNA (tRNA) molecules are approximately 80 nucleotides in length. Their secondary structure includes four short double-helical elements and three loops (D, anti-codon, and T loops). Lineage: Eukaryota; Viridiplantae; Streptophyta; Magnoliopsida; Rosales; Rosaceae. The record is from RNAcentral.